This 253-nucleotide ribosomal RNA is filed under the name uncultured bacterium. RNAcentral's name for it is "partial 16S ribosomal RNA". It matches the Rfam family "Bacterial small subunit ribosomal RNA", at positions 524 to 776 of the family's 1533-position model. The record is from RNAcentral.
UACGGAGGGGGCUAGCGUUGUUCGGAAUUACUGGGCGUAAAGCGCACGUAGGCGGCUUUGUAAGUUAGAGGUGAAAGCCCGGGGCUCAACUCCGGAAUUGCCUUUAAGACUGCAUCGCUAGAACGUCGGAGAGGUAAGUGGAAUUCCGAGUGUAGAGGUGAAAUUCGUAGAUAUUCGGAAGAACACCAGUGGCGAAGGCGACUUACUGGACGACUGUUGACGCUGAGGUGCGAAAGCGUGGGGAUCAAACAGG